This 420-nucleotide ribosomal RNA is filed under the name uncultured archaeon. RNAcentral describes it as "bacterial SSU rRNA". It matches the Rfam family "Archaeal small subunit ribosomal RNA", at positions 53 to 471 of the family's 1478-position model. The record is from RNAcentral.
GCUAGUCGCACGGGUCAGACCCGUGGCGAACAGCUCAGUAACACGUGGCCAAACUACCCUGUGGACGAGGAUAAUCUCGGGAAACUGAGGUCAAUCCUUGAUAGGGCUUCCAUCCUGGAGUGGAGGAAGUCCAAAAGUUGCUCUGCAGCACCACAGGAUGUGGCUGCGGCCGAUUAGGUAGACGGUGGGGUAACGGCCCACCGUGCCAGUAAUCGGUACGGGUGAUGAGAGUCAGAGCCCGGAGACGGUAUCUGAGACAAGAUACCGGGCCCUACGGGGCGCAGCAGGCGCGAAACCUUUACACUGCACGACAGUGCGAUAGGGGGAUUCCGAGUGCGAGGGCAUACAGUCCUCGCUUUUCUGGACCGUAAGGAGGUCCAAGAAUAAGGGCUGGGCAAGACCGGUGCCAGCCGCCGCGGU